GGGAGUCCAGGCCGGCUGGGUGGGAAAGGGUUCGCCUGGGAGUCCAGGCCUGGCCGCUAUGUAUGGGGGUUCUCCUGGGAGUCCAGGCCUGGCUGCGGUGGGAAGGGGUUCGCCUGGGAGUCCAGGCCUGGCCGCUAUGUAUGGGGGUUCUCCUGGGAGUCCAGGCCAGGCUGCGGUGGGAAAGGGUUCGCCUGGGAGUCCAGGUCUGGCCGCUAUGUAUGGGGGUUCUCCUGGGAGUCCAGGCCAGGCUGCGGUGGGAAGGAUUUCUCCUGGGAGUCCAGGCCUGGCCGCUAUGUAUGGGGGUUCUCCUGGGAGUCCAGGCCAGGCUGCGGUGGGAAGGGGUUCUCCUGGGAGUCCAGGCCAGGCUGCGGUGGGAAGGGGUUCUCCUGGGAGUCCAGGCCAGGCUGUGGUGGGCGGGGCUUCUCCUGGGGGUCCUGGCAGGGCUGCAGGGGGUAAUAGUGAUUUCUUGUCCUUCAGCCUGGACAGCUGAAGCUCCUUUAUCUUGUCCUUCCAUAACUGCACCUUUUGCUGGAGUUUCAGGACCUUCAGGGCACUGGCUGAGUAAUCAGGGAAAAUCCGAGCCAGGUCCUUCCGUAAAGAUUCCUGGAACUCAGGCCGAAUCUCCUUGACUUUCCCCAGGGCCACCAGGUCGGGGGCGCCAGGCUGAAUGGAUGGCCUGGCGAGGGCCGGAAACUCGGGCAGCAGGAGGCUCCCUCUAGGGGGGAGUUCCUGGAGGCUCCCUCUGGGGUGGAGUUCCUGGAAUUCAGGCCCAAUCUCCUUGACUUUCUCUGGGGCUACCAGAUCGGGGGCUCCAGGCUGAAUGGAUGGCCUGGCGAGGGCUGGAAACUCAGGCAACAGGAGGCUCCCUCUGGGGCGGAGUUCCUGGAAGCUCUCUCUGGGGCGGAGUUCCUGGAACUCAGGCCCAAUCUCCUUGACUUUCCCUGGGGCUACCAGAUCGGGGGCUCCAGGCUGAAUGGAUGGCCUGGCGAGGGCAGGAAACUCGGGUAGCAGGAGGCUCCCUCUGGGGCGGAGUUCCUGGAAGCUCUCUCUGGGGCGGAGUUCCUCUCUAGGGUAGUCUGUCUGUGGGGGGAUUACUUCCACUGUGGGCAUGCCAUAGGCAACAGACGUAGAGACUACUUGGGGAGCCUUUAGGGACUCCAAUUGCGAGGCAAGGGUCUCCAGAUGGGCCGUUUCCACCCACUCCAUCUGCUUCAGUGGGGAUGUCUGCUCCAGCAGCCAGCAAAGGCUGUCCAUGGUUUUUUUGGUGAUUGUCCCUUUUUGGCGAAGCUUCCGCAGGGCAUUCUGUAAUCGGUCCCAGCCUCCUCUAGGGAGCUUGUGCAUGAAUUCACUGUAUGUAGGAGGCAAGCUUCUAUCCCGUCGGGCCAUGGCCCCCUUGAAGGCCCUGAUACUCUGAUGAAUCCGCAGAAACCACCUCCAGCGUUCUUGGGCUGACUUUUUUGGGGAAGCCACAGUGUCCGGUCCCAUGACUUCCCAGGUGGGACUCUCUGGACGCCCUUCAGAUGGAGUUGGGGUUGGGGUUGGGGCAACUGGCUCCUUUGGCGUGAGUGGAAACCUCUGGGCGGUGGGGAGGGGUGGAGGUCUGGGCUUGUACUUGGAUUUGGCCAAAGACAAUAACUUCUCCUCUUGAGAAUCACUGGGCAUGGGGGAGAUCACAGCUUGCUUACGUCUAAGUUCUGAAGUAGAUUCCAGGUAAGGCUUUUGGGGACGAAAUGAUUUCCCUUCAAUUUUCAACUCGACCUGUUUCAUAUCAUCUUUCCUCGGUAUCAUGGCAGGCUUCAGAUCUACCUUUUGAACAUCAAGGUCCUUUGGCUGGACCAGUCCCGCAGGGGAAAUGAUCUUCUCUGCAGGCUCUCUUACCCUUUCCACACCAAGGCCCCUUAACUGGAUCAAUCCCUCAGGGGAAAUGACCGUCCCUGCAGGCUCUCCCACCCUUUCCACACCAAGCUCCCUUGGUUGGACCAAUCCCUCAGGGGAAAUGAUCUUUUCAGGAGGCUCUCCCACCCUUUCAACACCAAGCUCCCUUGGUUGGACCAAUCCCUCAGGGGAAAUGAUCUUUCCAGGAGGCUCUCCCACCCUUUCAACACCAAGCUCCCUUGGUUGGACCAAUCCCUCAGGGGAAAUGAUCUUUCCUGGAGGCUCUCCCACCCUUUCAACACCAAGCUCCCUUGGUUGGACCAAUCCCUCAGGGGAAAUGAUCUUUCCAGGAGGCUCUCCCACCCUUUCAACACCAAGCUCCCUUGGUUGGACCAAUCCCUCAGGGGAAAUGAUCUUUCCAGGAGGCUCUCCCACCCUUUCAACACCAAGCUCCCUUGGUUGGACCAAUCCCUCAGGGGAAAUGAUCUUUCCUACAGGCUCUCCCAUCCUUUCAACACCAAGGUCCUUUGGUUGGACCAGUCCCUCAGAGGAAAUGAUCUUUCCUGGAGGCUCUCCCACCCUUUCAACACCAAGCUCCCUUGGUUGGACCAAUCCCUCAGGGGAAAUGAUUUUCAGGAGGCUCUCCCACCCUUUCCACACCAAGGUCCCUUGGCUGGACCAAUCCUUCAGGGGAAAUGAUCUUUCCAGGAGGCUCUCCCACCCUUUCAACACCAAGCUCCCUUGGUUGGACCAAUCCCUCAGGAAAUAACCUUUCUCAUGGUUCUCCACCCUUUCCACCAGGUCCCUUGGCUGGACCAGCCUCAGGAAAUGAGUCUCCCACAGGCUCUCCACCCUUUCACCACCAAG
RNAcentral lists this long non-coding RNA (2742 nucleotides) under Sarcophilus harrisii (Tasmanian devil). Its description in RNAcentral is "lncRNA (ENSSHAG00000025134.1)". The record is from RNAcentral. Lineage: Eukaryota; Metazoa; Chordata; Mammalia; Dasyuromorphia; Dasyuridae.